RNAcentral lists this ribosomal RNA (426 nucleotides) under Theileria sp. dama gazelle. RNAcentral describes it as "SSU rRNA". It matches the Rfam family "Eukaryotic small subunit ribosomal RNA", at positions 436 to 901 of the family's 1831-position model. Lineage: Eukaryota; Apicomplexa; Aconoidasida; Piroplasmida; Theileriidae. The record is from RNAcentral.
GCAAAUUACCCAAUCCUGACACAGGGAGGUAGUGACAAGAAAUAACAAUACGGGGCUCAAUGUCUUGUAAUUGGAAUGAUGGGAAUUUAAACCUCUUCCAGAGUAUCAAUUGGAGGGCAAGUCUGGUGCCAGCAGCCGCGGUAAUUCCAGCUCCAAUAGCGUAUAUUAAAAUUGUUGCAGUUAAAAAGCUCGUAGUUGGACUUCUGCUGCACUGCUCCUUCUCCUUGAUGAGUUGGUGCGCUGCGGCUUGUUUCGGUCGUGGUUUCCUCGUCCGGAUGUUUACUUUGAGAAAAUUAGAGUGCUCAAAGCAGGCUUUUGCCUUGAAUAGUUUAGCAUGGAAUAAUGAAGUAGGACUUUGGUUCUAUUUUGUUGGUUUAUGUACCAAAGUAAUGGUUAAUAGGAACAGUUGGGGGCAUUCGUAUUUAA